RNAcentral lists this ribosomal RNA (540 nucleotides) under Diaporthe sp. RP44. Its description in RNAcentral is "eukaryotic LSU rRNA". The stretch from base 201 to 354 matches the Rfam family "5.8S ribosomal RNA". Lineage: Eukaryota; Fungi; Ascomycota; Sordariomycetes; Diaporthales; Diaporthaceae. The record is from RNAcentral.
UUGGUGAACCAGCGGAGGGAUCAUUGCUGGAACGCGCCCCAGGCGCACCCAGAAACCCUUUGUGAACUUAUACCUUUUGUUGCCUCGGCGCAUGCUGGCCUCUAGUAGGCCCCUCACCCCGGUGAGGAGCAGGCACGCCGGCGGCCAAGUUAACUCUUGUUUUUACACUGAAACUCUGAGAAAAAACACAAAUGAAUCAAAACUUUCAACAACGGAUCUCUUGGUUCUGGCAUCGAUGAAGAACGCAGCGAAAUGCGAUAAGUAAUGUGAAUUGCAGAAUUCAGUGAAUCAUCGAAUCUUUGAACGCACAUUGCGCCCUCUGGUAUUCCGGAGGGCAUGCCUGUUCGAGCGUCAUUUCAACCCUCAAGCAUUGCUUGGUGUUGGGGCACUGCUUUUAACGAAGCAGGCCCUGAAAUCUAGUGGCGAGCUCGCCAGGACCCCGAGCGCAGUAGUUAAACCCUCGCUCUGGAAGGCCCUGGCGGUGCCCUGCCGUUAAACCCCCAACUUUUGAAAAUUUGACCUCGGAUCAGGUAGGAAUAC